Molecule: unclassified non-coding RNA, 394 nt
Filed under: soil metagenome
Description: partial contains 5.8S ribosomal RNA, internal transcribed spacer 2, and large subunit ribosomal RNA
Rfam family: 5.8S ribosomal RNA (bases 1-120)
Source: RNAcentral
GAUGAAGAACGCAGCGAAAUGCGAUAAGUAGUGUGAAUUGCAGAAUUCAGUGAAUCAUCGAAUCUUUGAACGCAUCUUGCGCUCCUUGGUAUUCCGAGGAGCAUGCCUGUUUGAGUGUCGUGAAUACUCUCAACUUCAACCCUUUUUUCGGAAAGGGAGGAAGGUUGGACUUGGGUGUUUGUUGAAGUGCGAGCUUCGACUCAUCCUAAAUGCAUUAGCGAUCUGCCUCGAUCACACACAAUGUGAUAAUUAAAACUAAAGCAUUGUUUAAUGAUCAAGUCGAGACUGCUUCUAACUGUCGCAAGACAAUAACGUGCAUACAUUUGUGCAUGUCAUUUGACCUCAAAUCAGGUAGGACUACCCGCUGAACUUAAGCAUAUCAAUAAGCGGAGGA